Molecule: ribosomal RNA, 250 nt
Filed under: uncultured bacterium
Lineage: Bacteria
Description: partial 16S ribosomal RNA
Rfam family: Bacterial small subunit ribosomal RNA
Source: RNAcentral
UACAGAGGGUGCGAGCGUUAAUCGGAGUGACUGGGCGUAAAGGGCGCGUAGGCGGUGAGAUGAGUGUGAUGUGAAAGCCCCGGGCUUAACCUGGGAAGUGCAUCGCAAACGAUCUGACUGGAGUUUGGGAGAGGGUGGCGGAAUUUCCGGUGUAGCGGUGAAAUGCGUAGAGAUCGGAAGGAACGUCGAUGGCGAAGGCAGCCACCUGGCCCAAAACUGACGCUGAGGCGCGAAAGCGUGGGGAGCGAAC